AGAACGAACGCUGGCGGCAUGCCUAACACAUGCAAGUCGAACGCCUGUAGCAAUACAGGAGUGGCGCACGGGUGAGUAACGCGUGGGAACCUACCCUGGAGUGGGGGAUAACCGAGGGAAACUUCGGCUAAUACCUCAUACGACCUGAGGGUGAAAGAUUUAUCGCUCUAGGAGGGGCCCGCGUCGGAUUAGCUAGUUGGUGAGGUAACGGCCCACCAAGGCGAUGAUCCGUAGCUGGUCUGAGAGGAUGAUCAGCCACACUGGGACUGAGACACGGCCCAGACUCCUACGGGAGGCAGCAGUGGGGAAUAUUGGACAAUGGGGGCAACCCUGAUCCAGCAAUGCCGCGUGAGUGAUGAAGGCCUUAGGGUUGUAAAGCUCUUUCGGCGGGGACGAUGAUGACGGUACCCGCGAGAAGAAGCCCCGGCUAACUUCGUGCCAGCAGCCGC
This 449-nucleotide ribosomal RNA is filed under the name uncultured bacterium. Its description in RNAcentral is "SSU rRNA". It matches the Rfam family "Bacterial small subunit ribosomal RNA", at positions 26 to 518 of the family's 1533-position model. The record is from RNAcentral.